ACCCGCUGAACUUAAGCAUAUCAGUCAGGGCAGGACGAGAAAAUAACAAUGAUUCUCACAGUAACUGCGAGUGAAGUGAGAAGAGCCCAACGUUAAAAGCCGUAUCCCUCACAAGAUACUGCGUUGUAACGUAUAGAUGUGCUCUCAAGGUGGAAGCUUACGUCAAAGUUACAUAGAGUGGUACGCCAUAGAGGGUGAGAGCCCCGUGUGAGACGUAUGCAUGAAUUGCACCAAGUAGACACAAUCUAAGGGUCGUGUUGUUUGGGAAUGCAACACAAAGCAGGUGGUAAACUUCACCUAAGGCUAAAUACUGACACGAGACCGAUAGCGAACAAGUACCGUGAGGGAAAGUUGAAAAGUACCCUGAAAAGAGAGUGAAAAUCACGUGAAACCGUUCAUGGGGAAGCAGACGGUAGAAUCGAAGCACGCCGCUGAUUGCAUGCUUGUGUCCAUCCGAGUGGGUGGUCUCGAGUGUGUUGCUCAGUGGUGUAGCGCGCUGAGCUUGUCGUGCUUUGCAUGUGAGUGCAGCACAUGUACGCCGACUCUGUCAGUUUGAUAACCCAGGUGCUGAAUGAUCGGUGCUACAAGUUGUCGAAUGGUGGAGAUCGCUAUAGGUACAUAGCAUGACAAUGGCCAAUAUGAAAGGCGACGCGCGGAAGUGAUUUUGCAGUGUUCGGGCGGACCAGUUGUUGAACUAGGGAUGUUUGUGCGCUGUUUGAUUGGCAAGCGUGUCCACUCUCAGCGAGAUAUGCUGCUGUCUGACCCGUCUUGAAACACGGACCAAGGAGGCUAACGUAUACGCGAGUCAAGGGGAAACGCGGACGCGUUGCUGUUUUGAAACCCUAUGGCGCAACGAAAGUGAAUAGUGACAUCUCCACGCGAGAGUUGAUUGGUGGAGAGCAUCGCUGGCCAGUCGAGUCCAUUGGGACUAUGAUUGAGUAGGAGCGUAUGCGAUAGGACCCGAAAGAUGGUGAACUAUGCCUGAGUAGGGCAAAGUCAGAGGAAACUCUGAUGGAGGCUCGCAGCGGUUCUGACGUGCAAUUCGAUCGUCAAACUUGGGUAUAGGGGCGAAAGACUAAUCGAACCAUCUAGUAGCUGGUUCCCUCCGAAAUAUCCCUCAGGAUAGCUGGAGCCUGAACCAAGAGCAGUUUCAUCGGGUAGAGCGAAUGAUUAUAGGCAUUGGGGUCUUAACAGACUCUAACCUCUUCUCAAACUGCGAACCGGUGAGAAGGGUUGCGUUGCUUGUGUGAACGCAACUCGCGAAUGCUAGGGCUCCAAGUGGGCCGUUUCUGGUAAGCAGAACUGGCGAUGCGGGAUGAACCGAGAGCCAGGUUAAGGUGCCUAAAUAGACGCCAAAGGACACCAAUAAAGGAGUUGGUCGAUGAAGACAGCAGGACGGUGGCCCUGGAAGUAGGAAUCCGCUAAGGAGUGUCUAACAACUCACCUGCCGAAUCGACUGGCCCUGAAGAUGGAUGGCGCUUAAGCGUUUUACCGAUACCUGGCCAUCAGCAUUAGUAGUUGUGUGAUGCAUGCUGAUGGGUAGGAGGGCGCAAUGAUAGCGGCGAAGAGUAUAGCGUGAGCUUGCUUGGAGCUGUCAUUGGUGCGGAUCUUGGUGGUAGUAGCAGUUUAUUCAAGUGAAACGCUUGAAGGCCGAAGUGGAGAAGGGUUCCGCGCAAACAUCAUUUGAACGCGGGUUAGUCGGUCCUAAGUGGCAGCUUACGUGCUGAUGUAUACAAAGGAGAAGUGCGUUGUGCUCCAACUCUCGGGUAACACCGUGCUGAGGGGUGCUUCGUUCUCUCAAGCCACGAAAGGGAAUCAGGUUAAUAAUCCUGAACCAGUCCACGGAUAGUCUGUGCCCUGCUUUUAUUGUGCGGCCCGUUUUGCGGGUUCGUCUUUACUAGUGGUGUAUAGAUGCAGCGGUAACGCAAACGAACUCAGAGACAUCUUAGCAGUCCUAGGAAGAGUUAUCUUUUCUGUUUAACGAAAUGACGCCCUGGAAUUGAGUUGUUCAGAGAUAGGGCUGAGAUUUCGGAAGAGCAUCGCGCUUUUGGCGAUGUCUGGUGCGCUGUCUAAGGUCCUUGAAAAUCUGAGGGAGUGAAUGAUUUUCGUGCCUGGCCGUACCGUAAUCCGCAACAGGUCUCCAAGGUGAAUAGCCUCUGGCACUAGAACAAUGUGGGUAAGGGAAGUCGGCAAAAUAGAUUCGUAACUUCGGGAUAAGGAUUGGCUCUAAGGGUUGGGCCUGUCGGGCUAGUCACUUAUUGCUAUGUGCGUUGCCUUUUGAGUCCGGUGGUUGGGAUCACUCGUGGGUCCUUUACUGCUGGAUUUGAUUGGUGAUGUGCCAGCCUAAGUGUCUUGCUUGGUGCGGUUUGCAGUGUUGCUCACGCGAUGCUGUGCGCUUCAUCCUUGCGGCGAGCUAAGAUCAACCAACUUAGAACUGUCACUGACUAGGGGAAUCCGACUGUUUAAUUAAAACAAAGCAUUGCGAUGGCUGGAAACGGUGUUGACGCAAUGUGAUUUCUGCCCAGUGCUCUGAAUGUCAAAGUGUGGAGACACAACCAAGCGCGGGUAAACGGCGGGUGUAACUAUGACUCUCUCAAGAUAGCCAAAUGCCUCGUCAUCUAAUUAGUGACGCGCAUGAAUGGAUCAACGAGAUUCCCACUGUCCCUACCUUCCAUCUAGCGAACCCACAGUCAAGGGAACGGGCUUGACUGAGACAGCGGGGAAAGAAGACCCUGUUGAGCUUGACUCUAGUUUGAUAUGGUGAGGAGACAUGAGAGGUGUAGCAUAGGUGGGAGGUGUGCUAGCUUCGGUUGGUGCGCCGAUCUUGAAAUACCACCACUUUCAUUGUUUCCUCACUUAAUCGGUGAUAAGGGAAGUGCCCGAUAGAAGUGCUAACAUUAACACUGCGUGCCUCGGUCACUGGCCGAGUGUGUGUGGUGUCUUGGUGAGUAUGGACGUCGGUGUCACGAAUAUGAAGAUUUGCAAGGCGAAUGGUUCAUGAUGCGCUGCAUCGUGUUUCGGCGCGCUUGUAGUAGUCGUGGACAACUAGUGUUCGCUGACCCCAACUAUGCCAUUGCAGCGAUGUAGUGGUGUAUGUGUGACCGAUGACAGUGUCAGAUGGGGAGUUUGGCUGGGGCGGUACACCUUCUAAAGUGCAACAAAGGUGUCCAAAGGUGAGCUCACCGUGGACAGAAACCACGGGUAGAGUAUAAGGGCAAAAGCUCGCUUGAUUUUGAUUUUCAGUAUGAAUACAAACCACGAAAGUGUGGCCUAGCGAUCCUUUAUUAUGACCUGAAAGUUUCAGGAUAGAGGUGUCAGAAAAGUUACCACAGGGAUAACUGGCUUGUGGCUGCCAAGCGAACAUAGCGACGUAGCUUUUUGAUCCUUCGAUGUCGGCUCUUCCUAUCAUUGCGCAGCAGCAUACGCAAAGUGUCGGAUUGUUCACCCAUUAACAGGGAACGUGAGCUGGGUUUAGAC
Molecule: ribosomal RNA, 3477 nt
Filed under: Zschokkella sp. M0377
Lineage: Eukaryota; Metazoa; Cnidaria; Myxozoa; Bivalvulida; Myxidiidae
Description: eukaryotic LSU rRNA
Rfam family: Eukaryotic large subunit ribosomal RNA
Source: RNAcentral